Molecule: ribosomal RNA, 492 nt
Filed under: uncultured bacterium
Lineage: Bacteria
Description: partial 16S ribosomal RNA
Rfam family: Bacterial small subunit ribosomal RNA
Source: RNAcentral
AGUGAACGCUGGCGGUAUGCCUAACACAUGCAAGUCGAACGGCAGCACAGUAAGAGCUUGCUCUUACGGGUGGCGAGUGGCGGACGGGUGAGGAAUACAUCGGAAUCUACUUUUUCGUGGGGGAUAACGUAGGGAAACUUACGCUAAUACCGCAUACGACCUACGGGUGAAAGCAGGGGAUCUUCGGACCUUGCGCGAUUGAAUGAGCCGAUGUCGGAUUAGCUAGUUGGCGGGGUAAAGGCCCACCAAGGCGACGAUCCGUAGCUGGUCUGAGAGGAUGAUCAGCCACACUGGAACUGAGACACGGUCCAGACUCCUACGGGAGGCAGCAGUGGGGAAUAUUGGACAAUGGGCGCAAGCCUGAUCCAGCCAUACCGCGUGAGUGAAGAAGGCCUUCGGGUUGUAAAGCCCUUUUGUUGGGAAAGAAAAGCAGCAGGUUAAUACCCCGCUGUUCUGACGGUACCCAAAGAAUAAGCACCGGCUAACUUCGUG